GGCGGCACGGCGGACGCUGUCAAUUCAGAAACGGGGAAGAAGAUGGUGGCGGCUUGGCUGCGACGGCUUCGACAAGGGCAGCGACGGCAAGGCGACGACGACGGCAGCGGCGGCGGGCGCCAGCAGCGGCGGCGGACGCCAGCAGCGGCGGCGGACGCCAGCUACAGAUCGUGGUGACGACGGCGAAGACGAUGGCGAUGGUGGCGGCGGAAACCCUUUGGGUUUCCUCUCGGCAGAACAGAGGUAAGUUUUUUUUUUUUGGGACACGUGCGGGUCACGUGAACCUACAGUUUUUUUUUUUUGUGGAACCGGGCUAAUGGGUUGCGGGUUAACGGGCUCGGUACUUACCCGUUAGAGCUUCCUUCAACCUCCCAACGGUUCGGGAGGACGCCGAUCUUCGUGGCGGCGGCGGCGGCUGCGGGCCCGGGGCAGGGAUCACGACGGCGGCUCCACGACCUGCGGCGGCGGCGACAAGAUCAUGGCCACGGCUUCGUGGCCUGCAGCGAAGA
This 509-nucleotide long non-coding RNA is filed under the name Phoenix dactylifera (date palm). RNAcentral describes it as "long non-coding RNA (PDAC_LNC022794)". The record is from RNAcentral. Lineage: Eukaryota; Viridiplantae; Streptophyta; Magnoliopsida; Arecales; Arecaceae.